AACCUUUUCAACAGUUCAACAACAAGAUACCUACACAUUGGGUAUUGCAACUGGAUUGGUUUUAAGACAGCUAUGACCACCACUCUGCAUGGAAAUAUUCACCGAGUCAACAAGUUUACUCGUUUAAGUGAUGGCUCUGUGGGCAGGACUGAAGUGGGGAGCAGCAUAUAGGGCAGCAGCUGCAAGUCAUGUUUCGAAGAGCCCACUGGGAGUAUCCUGCAAAAGAAGACAAACUUUAGGCUUUGCAUGAGCAGCAGAAGAGCUCUCAGUCGCUGGAAAUGUUCAAGCCCGGGUCCUGGAAUAUAAGCAACCUCAUGAAGUUUGGUAUCUCCCGGCCUUUCUGUCAGCUCAGGUUGGCCUUUUACUGCCCUUUAUGUGUGUGACAAGUGAAAAGAGAAAAAGAAAAGAAACUCGAGUGAAGAAAACCAGCAUCUGCACAGCAGUUUGAAGGUGGUGUCCAGCCAAUUCCCACUCAACCUGCCUCAUCAAGCCCCCAGCAUUCACCUCUUUGCUCAUCUCACAGUCCACAUGUGUGACAGGCCCACAAUUCCUUUCUCAGAGCAGAGCCUCUCCCACACUUCCGGUUGUCACCCCCAACUUAGAUAUUCAGUCAAUACCUGGGGACCUGAGCUGCUUCACCUGGGAGCCAAGCUGAACUCUGAUUCCACAGCCCUCACACCCGGCAACAAUACCAAAAGAAAGUAGAUGCCGCUUGGAAAUCUCUCUCCUAGAACUUGGUUCUCAUAAUUCCCCCAAGAAAUCAGCAUGUGACUGCUCACCUCUCCAGGGAACUGAAACAGUCAACUCAGCUACUUAGAUCAACUUUAAAAAUCCCCACCCGGACCGUAUUAAAUCAUUUUGGCUGGGACGAUGAAAUAACUGACUUGUUGGCAGUUUCUUGGACUAUCUGUAGACACGGGGAAAAAAUACUUUUAAUCAGGUCAAGUCACUCUGCCUUUUGGAUUCGAAAUUUAGCAAUAUUCUGAAUGAAAACUAUUCAGUUAUAGCGAGGAAAAUAUGAUUAUUCUUUUUAGUUCAGUAAGCAACCAAGAGUUUGUUCUUCAAAUUUUAACAUUUAAUUGAUCAGAAAUUAUUUUUGGAAGACUGGUUCCUGUGAAGCCACCUCUACCCGUAGGAUUUUUCUUUAAACAUCUGGACUAUAGAAGGAAAUUUACAGCCUGGACUUUCACUGACCAUGGAUUCUCACCUGAGUCUUACACCCAACACAAGCUGUUAAUGCUACUUCUUCCUUGUGGGCCCUACCAGCUAUGUAGAUUUGUUAAAAUGAAAUAUUAAGCAUCUUUUAUUUUCUUUGCCUUUAAUUAUAUGAUCCCCUC
This is a long non-coding RNA of Equus caballus (horse), 1337 nucleotides long. Lineage: Eukaryota; Metazoa; Chordata; Mammalia; Perissodactyla; Equidae. The record is from Ensembl.